Long non-coding RNA from Neopelma chrysocephalum (saffron-crested tyrant-manakin), 790 nucleotides. RefSeq lists it as uncharacterized. NCBI's taxonomy places the organism in Eukaryota, Metazoa, Chordata, Aves, Passeriformes, Pipridae. The record is from RefSeq and is a predicted model, not a curated record. The transcript has 5 exons.
GGUGUUUACUCACUUGCAGUUUCUAAAUCUGCCUGGAUCCAAGAAUUUUCUGACAGUGUGAUGUGUGGAUCUAGUGAGCUGAGGUACGGCCCCGGCCCUCUGGUGCGGUCUCCUUCCCCGCGGAACCCCGCCGGCAGCCACACGUCCAGGAACCGCUCUGGGACACCCUUGCCACCACCUCCUUCCGCACGCCCCGCCAAAGCGGGGGUCGGGACGCCCCCCGCGGCCGCAGCUGCCACGUCCUGGCUGCCGGGGAGACAGAAGGGCACUCGCUGCAGAACGAGCUCCUCUUGUACCGGCGCUUUUCAAUUUGCAAGCUACAGGAAAUGAUGCUUGAAUACUGCUGAAGAGAGAGAACAAGAAUUCCUCCUCCAACAGAACAUGCUUUGUUUAGCUCCAGUAAUACCACAGUCUCAGAAGGAGAAUGACCUGUGAAAUUUGAACCUCCUUGGAUCUGUUUCUUCCAGCAAGAGAAUACAAAAGGGAUGUACUGUGCUGGAGGUUCUGACAAUAGUGUGCCAUCCCCUUCCUGCCUGGGAAGCAGAAAGAGAGCAUGGGGUGCUGUUGUGAUUAUGACCUUUGGCAAGCUGAGAUGCAAGGCACCCCGUAGGAAUUUCCUCCAGCUCAAAGGAUUCCCAAAGAAACAAAGAAGGAAACUCACAUGACUAUUGUCAGAAGCACAGUGUCAUAUACAGACCUGAAGGCACUGUUUAGAGAAAGGGAAGCUAGCCAGCCCUGACUGCAGCACUUACUGUGGCCUUGCACAGGACACUCCAUGUCUUUUUCCUGA